Molecule: long non-coding RNA, 203 nt
Filed under: Trifolium pratense (red clover)
Lineage: Eukaryota; Viridiplantae; Streptophyta; Magnoliopsida; Fabales; Fabaceae
Description: long non-coding RNA (TPRA_LNC010384)
Source: RNAcentral
CCCACUUGACCAUCGUCAUCUCUAUUGCUAUCAUUUGCAUCGCCAUUACUUGUGGUGCCCUCCCUGUUUAGUUCUUGAAACUGAGAUAGAUCAAUCUCACUCGACUUCACACUGCAGGGCAAAAAGUAAAAUUGCAUUAAUCACCAAAAGCCAGCUCUUUAUUAUGGAUGGUUUUAAGCCUUUUUUCUGCAUUAACAUGAUGA